AGUGAACGCUGGCGGUAGGCCUAACACAUGCAAGUCGAACGGCAGCACAGUAAGAGCUUGCUCUUACGGGUGGCGAGUGGCGGACGGGUGAGGAAUACAUCGGAAUCUACUUUUUCGUGGGGAAUAACGUAGGGAAACUUACGCUAAUACCGCAUACGACCCACGGGUGAAAGCAGGGGAUCUUCGGACCUUGCGCGAUUGAAUGAGCCGAUGUCGGAUUAGCUAGUUGGCGGGGUAAAGGCCCACCAAGGCGACGAUCCGUAGCUGGUCUGAGAGGAUGAUCAGCCACACUGGAACUGAGACACGGUCCAGACUCCUACGGGAGGCAGCAGUGGGGAAUAUUGGACAAUGGGCGCAAGCCUGAUCCAGCCAUACCGCGUGGGUGAAGAAGGCCUUCGGGUUGUAAAGCCCUUUUGUUGGGAAAGAAAAGCAGCAGGUUAAUACCCCGCUGUUCUGACGGUACCCAAAGAAUAAGCACCGGCUAACUUCGUG
RNAcentral lists this ribosomal RNA (492 nucleotides) under uncultured bacterium. RNAcentral describes it as "partial 16S ribosomal RNA". It matches the Rfam family "Bacterial small subunit ribosomal RNA", at positions 29 to 507 of the family's 1533-position model. The record is from RNAcentral.